RNAcentral lists this small nucleolar RNA (49 nucleotides) under Pyrobaculum arsenaticum DSM 13514. RNAcentral's name for it is "PARsR65". Lineage: Archaea; Thermoproteati; Thermoproteota; Thermoprotei; Thermoproteales; Thermoproteaceae. The record is from RNAcentral.
GUGAUGUAGGUCUUUAGUUCAGAGAUGUGAAGACGAACCCACGAACUGA